ACGAACGCUGGCGGCGUGCCUAAUACAUGCAAGUCGAACGGUCUUUCUAUGGAAGCUUGCUUCCACUGAGAAGAUAGUGGCGAACGGGUGAGUAACACGUGGGUAACCUGCCCAUAAGAGGGGGAUAACAUCCGGAAACGGGUGCUAAUACCGCAUAGUUUUCUUGAUCGCAUGAUUGAGAAAGGAAAGACGGCCUUUGUGCUGUCGCUUAUGGAUGGACCCGCGGCGUAUUAGUUAGUUGGUGAGGUAACGGCUCACCAAGACGAUGAUACGUAGCCGACCUGAGAGGGUGAUCGGCCACAUUGGGACUGAGACACGGCCCAAACUCCUACGGGAGGCAGCAGUAGGGAAUCUUCCGCAAUGGACGAAAGUCUGACGGAGCAACGCCGCGUGAGUGAAGAAGGUUUUUCCGGAUCGUAAAACUCUGUUGUCAGAGAAGAACAAGUUGGAGAGUAACUGCUCCAGCCUUGACGGUAUCUGACCAGAAAGCCACGGCUAACUACGUGCCAGCAGCUGC
This 517-nucleotide ribosomal RNA is filed under the name uncultured bacterium. Its description in RNAcentral is "bacterial SSU rRNA". It matches the Rfam family "Bacterial small subunit ribosomal RNA", at positions 29 to 518 of the family's 1533-position model. The record is from RNAcentral.